UCCGUAGGUGAACCUGCGGAAGGAUCAUUACCUAGAGUUGCGGGCUUUGCCUGCCAUCUCUUACCCAUGUCUUUUGAGUACCUUCGUUUCCUCGGUGGGUUCGCCCGCCGGUUGGACAACACUUAAACCCUUUGUAAUUGAAAUCAGCGUCUGAAAAAACUUAAUAGUUACAACUUUCAACAACGGAUCUCUUGGUUCUGGCAUCGAUGAAGAACGCAGCGAAAUGCGAUAAGUAGUGUGAAUUGCAGAAUUCAGUGAAUCAUCGAAUCUUUGAACGCACAUUGCGCCCCUUGGUAUUCCAUGGGGCAUGCCUGUUCGAGCGUCAUUUGUACCUUCAAGCUCUGCUUGGUGUUGGGUGUUUGUCUCGCCUCUGCGCGCAGACUCGCCUCAAAACGAUUGGCAGCCGGCGUAUUGAUUUCGGAGCGCAGUACAUCUCGCGCUUUGACAACAAAACGACGACGUCCAAAAAGUACAUUUUUUACACUCUUGACCUCGGAUCAGGUAGGGAUACCCGCUGAACUUAAGCAUAUCAAUAAGCGGAGGA
RNAcentral lists this ribosomal RNA (544 nucleotides) under Phyllosticta citrullina. RNAcentral's name for it is "eukaryotic LSU rRNA". The stretch from base 172 to 325 matches the Rfam family "5.8S ribosomal RNA". Lineage: Eukaryota; Fungi; Ascomycota; Dothideomycetes; Botryosphaeriales; Phyllostictaceae. The record is from RNAcentral.